GUUUUUGCUAAGUGGGCUGAAAGCAGGUGUACUUGCGGCAGGUCCAUACUCGGUGUACCUGUGUGUGUCUAAUUUCCGCCCGAGUUCGGAAUUAAGGAGCUCAACCCCCUGGGUAAAAAAAAAAAAAGAAAAAGUUUUGGCGGUUAAAUCAAUCCGGAUCCUCUAGACUGCAGUCAUUUUUCAUUUUCAAGAGGAAUCAUUUCAGCUUCAGUAGGCAACUAUAAAGAGGGCAGGACCUGGUCAGACCUCCAGUCAGAUGCAGAAGUGUCUGGACAAAGACUACUAAGCCAUGCUGAGGGAGGUGUUGACUAUAUUAGAGAUGGUGCUGGACCCACAAACCACUGAGAUUGCUUCAACUACAGGAGUUCCAGGUGCAGCCUUUGGUUAUUGAGGAAGGUUUAUUGCCCCUGCAAGACCUUCAUCAACAGUGUAGCCUGGAGCAAAGGAUGCAACAGAGCCCAGAUUACAAGCAAAAACUGGACACACUCAUACUCAAAGUACAACAUUAAACACCACUUUGAUAUGAGGGAACAGUUAUGACCUAAUCUUUGGUAGAAGAGGAAAACAUGGAAAACACACAGGGCAAGAUAACUGCAGGAGUAGUGAGAAGCACUGACCCAGUUGACGAGGUAAACUGGUUGGUGCUUAUUGACGGGGCGGAUGUGUGUGACUGCACCUGGCG
This is a long non-coding RNA of Ictalurus punctatus (channel catfish), 682 nucleotides long. Lineage: Eukaryota; Metazoa; Chordata; Actinopteri; Siluriformes; Ictaluridae. The record is from Ensembl.